GUAAACGGCGGCCGUAACUAUAACGGUCCUAAGGUAGCGAAAUUCCUUGUCGGGUAAGUUCCGACCUGCACGAAUGGCGUAAUGAUGGCCAGGCUGUCUCCACCCGAGACUCAGUGAAAUUGAACUCGCUGUGAAGAUGCAGUGUACCCGCGGCAAGACGGAAAGACCCCGUGAACCUUUACUAUAGCUUGACACUGAACAUUGAGCCUUGAUGUGUAGGAUAGGUGGGAGGCUUUGAAGCGUGGACGCCAGUCUGCGUGGAGCCAACCUUGAAAUACCACCCUUUAAUGUUUGAUGUUCUAACGUUGGCCCCUGACCGGGGUUGCGGACAGUGUCUGGUGGGUAGUUUGACUGGGGCGGUCUCCUCCCAAAGCGUAACGGAGGAGCACGAAGGUUAGCUAAUCCUGGUCGGACAUCAGGAGGUUAGUGCAAUGGCAUAAGCUAGCUUGACUGCGAGCGUGACGGCGCGAGCAGGUGCGAAAGCAGGUCAUAGUGAUCCGGUGGUUCUGAAUGGAAGGGCCAUCGCUCAACGGAUAAAAGGUACUCCGGGGAUAACAGGCUGAUACCGCCCAAGAGUUCAUAUCGACGGCGGUGUUUGGCACCUCGAUGUCGGCUCAUCACAUCCUGGGGCUGAAGUAGGUCCCAAGGGUAUGGCUGUUCGCCAUUUAAAGUGGUACGCGAGCUGGGUUUAGAACGUCGUGAGACAGUUCGGUCCCUAUCUGCCGUGGGCGCUGGAGAAUUGAGGGGGGCUGCUCCUAGUACGAGAGGACCGGAGUGGACGCAUCACUGGUGUUCGGGUUGUCAUGCCAAUGGCACUGCCCGGUAGCUAAAUGCGGAAGAGAUAAGUGCUGAAAGCAUCUAAGCACGAAACUUGCCCCG
This 879-nucleotide ribosomal RNA is filed under the name Klebsiella pneumoniae. Its description in RNAcentral is "partial 23S ribosomal RNA". It matches the Rfam family "Bacterial large subunit ribosomal RNA", at positions 1923 to 2801 of the family's 2925-position model. The record is from RNAcentral. Lineage: Bacteria; Pseudomonadati; Pseudomonadota; Gammaproteobacteria; Enterobacterales; Enterobacteriaceae.